Molecule: ribosomal RNA, 504 nt
Filed under: uncultured archaeon
Lineage: Archaea
Description: bacterial SSU rRNA
Rfam family: Archaeal small subunit ribosomal RNA
Source: RNAcentral
ACUUUCCAAUGCUUGAAACAGCGAUAAGGCGACCUAGAGUGNCAGGCCACAAAUNUGGCUGUUUUGAUGCUUAAAAAGCAUUGCAUAGCAAGGGCCGGGCAAGACCGGUGCCAGCCGCCGCGGUAACACCGGCGGCUCGAGUGGUAGCCGUUAUUAUUGGGUCUAAAGGGUCUGUAGCCGGCCGGAUAAGUCUCUUGGGAAAUCUGGCAGCUUAACUGUCAGGCUUUCAGGGGAUACUGUCUGGCUCGAGGCCGGGAGAGGUGAGAGGUACUUCAGGGGUAGGGGUGAAAUCCUGUAAUCCUUGAAGGACCACCAGUGGCGAAGGCGUCUCACCAGAACGGACCCGACGGCAAGGGACGAAAGCUAGGGGCACGAACCGGAUUAGAUACCCGGGUAGUCCUAGCCGUAAACGAUGCUCGUUAGGUGUNUNCCACAGUGCGACCGUGCNCUGUGCCGUAGGGAAGCCGUGAAGCGAGCCACCUGGGAAGUACGGCCGCAAGGCUG